This 351-nucleotide ribosomal RNA is filed under the name Xestoblatta cavicola. Its description in RNAcentral is "partial 12S ribosomal RNA". The record is from RNAcentral. Lineage: Eukaryota; Metazoa; Arthropoda; Insecta; Blattodea; Blattellidae.
UUUAGAUGUUAAUUGUUUAAACUUGAGUAGUAGUAGUUAAGAUCUUGAAACUUAAAGAAUUUGGCGGUAUUUUAGUCUAUUUAGAGGAAUCUGUUCCGUAAUCGAUAUUCCGCGUUGGACCUUACUUAAUUUAUUUAUAUGUAUACCGCCGUUGUUGAAAAUCUUUUUAGAGUAUAGAAUUUUUAUAAUAUUUUUAAAUAGUUUUUCAGGUCAAGGUGCAGUUUAUAAUUAAGUGGAAAUGGAUUACAAUAUUUAUUAAUAUACGGAUUAUUAAUUGAAAUUUUUAUAUAAAGGUGGAUUUAAUAGUAAUACUAUAUAGAUUGUUAGUAUGAUUAUAGCUCUAAAAUAUGU